RNAcentral lists this small RNA (31 nucleotides) under Bombyx mori (domestic silkworm). Its description in RNAcentral is "ovarian small RNA-33478". Lineage: Eukaryota; Metazoa; Arthropoda; Insecta; Lepidoptera; Bombycidae. The record is from RNAcentral.
UGCACUCGGCCGAGCGGCCGGUGGUGCGAAU